GAUGAACGCUGGCGGCGUGCCUAAUACAUGCAAGUCGAGCGAACGGACGAGAAGCUUGCUUCUCUGAUGUUAGCGGCGGACGGGUGAGUAACACGUGGAUAACCUACCUAUAAGACUGGGAUAACUUCGGGAAACCGGAGCUAAUACCGGAUAAUAUUUUGAACCGCAUGGUUCAAAAGUGAAAGACGGUCUUGCUGUCACUUAUAGAUGGAUCCGCGCUGCAUUAGCUAGUUGGUAAGGUAACGGCUCACCAAGGCAACGAUGCAUAGCCGACCUGAGAGGGGGAUCGGCCACACUGGAACUGGGACACGGUCCAGACUCCUACGGGAGGCAGCAGUAGGGAAUCUUCCGCAAUGGGCGGAAGCCUGACGGAGCCACGCCGCGUGAGUGAUGAAGGUCUUCGGAUCGUAAAACUCUGUUAUUAGGGAAGAACAUAUGUGUAAGUAACUGUGCACAGCUUGACGGUAACUAAUCAGAAAGCCACGGCUAACUACGUG
This 497-nucleotide ribosomal RNA is filed under the name uncultured bacterium. RNAcentral describes it as "partial 16S ribosomal RNA". It matches the Rfam family "Bacterial small subunit ribosomal RNA", at positions 28 to 507 of the family's 1533-position model. The record is from RNAcentral.